This 30-nucleotide non-coding RNA is filed under the name Homo sapiens (human). Lineage: Eukaryota; Metazoa; Chordata; Mammalia; Primates; Hominidae. The record is from RNAcentral.
AGGGUAUUGAAUUCGAGCUUCGGAAAGUUG